GGGUGUAUGCGUGUGUAUAUGAGCGCCUGUGUCUGUACUGAUGCUCAAAAAACAAAAACUUCCUGCAGUUUGCAGAUGUGCCUACCUUCGGCUCCGACAGCGGCGGCCUCGUCCCCGCGCACCACCUCUGACGCGGCGGCCUUCGCGGGCACACACAUCCACUGGAAGGAGACCCUCGAAGCGCACGUGGAGGUGCCGGGGCUGAAGAAGGAGGAGGUAAAGGUGGAGGCGGAGGACGGCAACGUGCUCCAGAUCAGCGGUGAGCGGAUGCUGGGAGCAGGAGGAGAAGACGGUCACCUGGCACUGCCGAGCGCAGCAGCGGCAGGUUCCUCCGCAGGUUCCGGCUCCUGGGCGACGCCAGGGCGGAGCAGGUCAGGGCGUCCAUGGAGAACGGUGUGCUCACCAUCACCGUGCCCAAGCAGGAGGUUAAAAAGCCAGAGGUCAAGUCCAUCCAGAUCUCUGGCU
This 465-nucleotide ribosomal RNA is filed under the name Triticum aestivum (bread wheat). RNAcentral describes it as "partial small subunit ribosomal RNA". The record is from RNAcentral. Lineage: Eukaryota; Viridiplantae; Streptophyta; Magnoliopsida; Poales; Poaceae.